GUGGGGAAUAUUGGGCAAUGGGCGCAAGCCUGACCCAGCAACGCCGCGUGAAGGAAGAAGGCUUUCGGGUUGUAAACUUCUUUGACAGGGGACGAAACAAAUGACGGUACCCUGAAAACAAGCCACGGCUAACUACGUGCCAGCAGCCGCGGUAAUACGUAGGUGGCAAGCGUUAUCCGGAUUUACUGGGUGUAAAGGGCGUGUAGGCGGGAUUACAAGUCAGAUGUGAAAACUAUGGGCUCAACCCAUAGCCUGCAUUUGAAACUGUAGUUCUUGAGUGAUGGAGAGGCAGACGGAAUUCCUCGUGUAGCGGUGAAAUGCGUAGAUAUGAGGAGGAACACCAGUGGCGAAGGCGGUCUGCUGGACAUUAACUGACGCUGAGGCGCGAAAGCGUGGGGAGCAAACAGGAUUAGAAACCCGAGUAGUCC
This 428-nucleotide ribosomal RNA is filed under the name uncultured bacterium. RNAcentral's name for it is "partial 16S ribosomal RNA". It matches the Rfam family "Bacterial small subunit ribosomal RNA", at positions 354 to 796 of the family's 1533-position model. The record is from RNAcentral.